This 217-nucleotide long non-coding RNA is filed under the name Hordeum vulgare. RNAcentral's name for it is "long non-coding RNA (HVUL_LNC015767)". The record is from RNAcentral. Lineage: Eukaryota; Viridiplantae; Streptophyta; Magnoliopsida; Poales; Poaceae.
AAACAUUUUCUCAGACAUGGUCAAAGGGUUGCUUGUCUUUGCUCACAUAAGUCCUCGGGGUCUUCAAGGUCUUCCAGUCCAACUCCGAGUACUCUGUCAACUAUAGACGGAAACAAUCACAGUAAGCCACACAACAAGCAGAAACAGAAGUGCUAUAUACAUAGGAGUCAUAAGAAAAAUACCUAAAGCUUGCUCUAGGAGAUUUGGACCAUCAAGG